RNAcentral lists this ribosomal RNA (253 nucleotides) under uncultured bacterium. RNAcentral's name for it is "partial 16S ribosomal RNA". It matches the Rfam family "Bacterial small subunit ribosomal RNA", at positions 524 to 776 of the family's 1533-position model. The record is from RNAcentral.
GACGUAGGGCGCGAGCGUUGUCCGGAUUUAUUGGGCGUAAAGAGCUCGUAGGCGGCUCGUUGCGUCGGCUGUGAAAACCCGCAGCUCAACUGUGGGCUUGCAGCUGAUACGGGCGGGCUUGGAUUCGGUAGGGGAGACUGGAAUUCCUGGUGUAGCGGUGAAAUGCGCAGAUAUCAGGAGGAACACCGGUGGCGAAGGCGGGUCUCUGGGCAAUAACUGACGCUGAGGAGCGAAAGCGUGGGGAGCGAACAGG